RNAcentral lists this long non-coding RNA (630 nucleotides) under Capra hircus (goat). RNAcentral's name for it is "lncRNA (ENSCHIG00000001139.1)". The record is from RNAcentral. Lineage: Eukaryota; Metazoa; Chordata; Mammalia; Artiodactyla; Bovidae.
CUCUUCAAUUCCCGCAGUCAUGCUUGCUUGCUUGCUUUCAGAGCUGCCAAAUGAGAGAAGCUUCCAGAAUGCUGCUGAAAGCAAUGAUUUGCAUCUUAUGGAGAAGCUGUUUGAAAAGAAGGUUAAUAUUAAUGCUGUGAACAAUGAAGCAUGGCUUGACAGUACUUCACCUUGCAGCCUGGUCUGGAAGUCUCGAGAGCGUGCUCAUGUUGACUCGAGCUGGAGCGGACCAGAGAGCCGAGAGGCAGGCAGGUAUGUGGAUCGCCCCGGGACCCACGCCCUCUCUCACAGCGCAGGAGGGGGAAGGCUGCAGAGAAUGGCCGCCCCUCCCCCGGCCCUCUUAGGAUGGCAUGGAUGCCGCCCACUCUGCCGCUCAGAGCAAUAGCGUGUGCAUCGUGGACCACCUCACUCAAGAUGGGUACCCGCACGACCUGGGCCAGCCUGAUGAGGUGUGCUAGCUGUGGGUCUCAAAUAAACCCCACUGAAUCGCACUGUCUUCCUGUCCCUGCUGGAACUGCCAGAGCGGCCGGCACAGACGGACCGGCCCUGCAGCUGACUCCUCCUGCACUCUGGCAGACCACGGAGCAGAAGGUAGUUAUCGGUGCUGGCGGUGGCCUCGGCCCCUGCAUG